GUAACACGUGGGUAACCUGCCUUAUAGUGGGGGAUAGCCUUUCGAAAGGAAGAUUAAUACCGCAUAAGAUUGUAGUAUCGCAUGAUAUAGCAAUUAAAGGAGCAAUUCGCUAUAAGAUGGACCCGCGUCGCAUUAGCUAGUUGGUGAGGUAAUGGCUCACCAAGGCGACGAUGCGUAGCCGACCUGAGAGGGUGACCGGCCACAUUGGACUGAGACACGGCCCAGACUCCUACGGGAGGCAGCAUG
This 246-nucleotide ribosomal RNA is filed under the name uncultured bacterium. RNAcentral's name for it is "partial 16S ribosomal RNA". It matches the Rfam family "Bacterial small subunit ribosomal RNA", at positions 110 to 353 of the family's 1533-position model. The record is from RNAcentral.